GGCGGGCUAGCGUAAUGGUUAACGCGCCAGUUUCCGGUCCCUUCUGAUCUUGUCAGAACGCGUUAGCUGGAGAUUCUGGGUUCGAGUCCCAGGUUCGUCG
Molecule: transfer RNA, 100 nt
Filed under: Coprinellus micaceus
Lineage: Eukaryota; Fungi; Basidiomycota; Agaricomycetes; Agaricales; Psathyrellaceae
Rfam family: tRNA
About the family: Transfer RNA (tRNA) molecules are approximately 80 nucleotides in length. Their secondary structure includes four short double-helical elements and three loops (D, anti-codon, and T loops).
Source: Rfam by way of RNAcentral